AGCCAAGCAGAGAUUAGAGUCGAUGAGGACUUAAGAGGCCUUUCAGCUGACGUGAUUGCGAGAGCCUGUUUUGGGAGCUCUUACUUGAAAGGCAACGAGAUUUUCUCGAAGCUUAGGACCCUCCAAACGCUUAUUACCAAGCAAAGCAUCCUGUUUGGGAUAACAAGUUUUGGGUUUUUCGCCAGCAAGAACCACAAAAUGAAGAAGAGCUUGGAAACAGAGAUAGACUCGUUAAUAUGGGAGACCGUGAAAGAAAGAGAAAAGCAAUGCUUAGACAAAAGAAAUACUGACAAGGAUCUAAUGCAGCAAUUACUCGAGGAAGCACUCAACAAUAGCAAUUCCAGCAAUAGCAACUUCUCACCCAAGCGCUUCAUAAUUGAUAAUUGCAAGAACAUAUAUUUUGCAGGCCAUGAAGCAACUUCUACUGCUGCAACCUGGUGCAUGAUGCUCCUUGCUUUAUAUCCAGACUGGCAAUCUCGUAUCCGAGAGGAGGUCACACAAUUCUGUAAUGAUGGCCUGGAUGCAAAUUCACUUUCCAACUUGAAGACGGUGACUAUGGUGAUUCAAGAGGCAUUGAGGCUAUACCCACCAGGAGCAUUUGUGUCGAGGGAGGCACUGGAACAAGUUCAAAUAGGAAAAAUUACAGUUCCGAAAGGAGUAUGCAUAUGGACCUUAAUUCCAACCUUGCACAGGGAUCCCAAUCUAUGGGGACCAGAUGCUAAUGAGUUUAGACCAGAGAGGUUCGCAGAUGGUGUCUCAAAAGCCUGCAAAUUUGCCCAAGCCUACAUCCCAUUUGGAGUUGGGACUCGGUUAUGCGUAGGCCGAAACUUUGCUAUGGUGGAGUUGAAGGUUGUUCUCUCCCUCAUUGUCUCCCAAUUUACCUUCUCUUUAUCUCCAAAUUAUCAACACUCUCCUGCUUUUAGAAUGAUCGUCGAGCCUGAGCAUGGCGUACAAAUUCUAAUUCGAAAGGUUUAGCAAUUAGACCUCCAAGCUUUAUACCUAUAAUUUAUAAUCUCUUGCUGUAAUAAGCACUAAUUAAUAUCUCUAUCUAGCCUAACUUGAUUCAAUGGCUAAAAACACGAAGGUGUAAGGUUCGAG
This 1098-nucleotide unclassified non-coding RNA is filed under the name Hevea brasiliensis (rubber tree). Lineage: Eukaryota; Viridiplantae; Streptophyta; Magnoliopsida; Malpighiales; Euphorbiaceae. The record is from RNAcentral.